GUCUGAAAGCAGCUACAGGCCAAUCUGCCCCUGUGCCGUAUAUUAUGAAAUAUCAAACAGGAGAUAUCUAAAGACAUCAUAGAAGCUGUUAAAGCGCCUUUUCUCUGGACAAUUCCCAGAAUGUAUACUUUGAGGAAUUCUUGGAGAUGGAUACAUUCAGAGAUAUAUCAUCUUUGGAUGAGGAUAUUCAGCCUAUUUCAG
Non-coding RNA from Pelobates cultripes (western spadefoot toad), 201 nucleotides. Lineage: Eukaryota; Metazoa; Chordata; Amphibia; Anura; Pelobatidae. The record is from the annotation of a GenBank genome assembly.